This 21-nucleotide microRNA is filed under the name Malus domestica (apple). RNAcentral describes it as "mdm-miR11002a". Lineage: Eukaryota; Viridiplantae; Streptophyta; Magnoliopsida; Rosales; Rosaceae. The record is from miRBase by way of RNAcentral.
GAGGAUGAGCUUCGGCGGUGA